RNAcentral lists this ribosomal RNA (156 nucleotides) under Justicia adhatoda. RNAcentral's name for it is "5.8S ribosomal RNA". It matches the Rfam family "5.8S ribosomal RNA". From Rfam's summary of the family: 5.8S ribosomal RNA (5.8S rRNA) is a component of the large subunit of the eukaryotic ribosome. It is transcribed by RNA polymerase I as part of the 45S precursor that also contains 18S and 28S rRNA. The record is from RNAcentral. Lineage: Eukaryota; Viridiplantae; Streptophyta; Magnoliopsida; Lamiales; Acanthaceae.
GACUCUCGGCAACGGAUAUCUCGGCUCUCGCAUCGAUGAAGAACGUAGCGAAAUGGGAUACUUGGUGUGAAUUGCAGAAUCCCGUGAACCAUCGAGUCUUUGAACGCAAGUUGCGCCCGAAGCCUUCGGGCCGAGGGCACGCCUGCCUGGGCGUCA